Molecule: ribosomal RNA, 433 nt
Filed under: uncultured bacterium
Lineage: Bacteria
Description: partial 16S ribosomal RNA
Rfam family: Bacterial small subunit ribosomal RNA
Source: RNAcentral
AACGAACGCUGGCGGCAUGCCUAACACAUGCAAGUCGAACGAGACCUUCGGGUCUAGUGGCGCACGGGUGCGCAACGCGUGGGAACCUGCCUUUAGGUUCGGAAUAACUCAGAGAAAUUUGAGCUAAUACCGGAUGAUGUCUUCGGACCAAAGAUUUAUCGCCUUUAGAUGGGCCCGCGUUGGAUUAGCUAGUUGGUGGGGUAAAGGCCUACCAAGGCGACGAUCCAUAGCUGGUCUGAGAGGAUGAUCAGCCACACUGGGACUGAGACACGGCCCAGACUCCUACGGGAGGCAGCAGUGGGGAAUAUUGGACAAUGGGCGAAAGCCUGAUCCAGCAAUGCCGCGUGAGUGAUGAAGGCCUUAGGGUUGUAAAGCUCUUUUACCCGAGAUGAUAAUGACAGUAGCGGGAGAAUAAGCUCCGGCUAACUCCGUG